This 71-nucleotide transfer RNA is filed under the name Phrynosoma platyrhinos (Desert horned lizard). RNAcentral describes it as "tRNA-OTHER". Lineage: Eukaryota; Metazoa; Chordata; Lepidosauria; Squamata; Phrynosomatidae. The record is from RNAcentral.
GCCAGGGUGGCAUAGUGGUUUGAGUGUGGGACUGUGACUCUGGAGACCAGAGUUCAAUUCCUGGUUCGGCC